GACAGAGGAGGCGAGCGUUAUCCGGAGUCAUUGGGCGUAAAGGGUACGUAGGCGGCUAGUCAAGUCUGAGGUUAAAGACCACAGCUUAACUGUGGAAAGGCCUUGGAAACUGACCGGCUGGAGUGGGGCAGGGGUUGCGGGAAUUCCCGGUGUAGCGGUGAAAUGCGUAGAUAUCGGGAAGAACACCUGAGGCGAAAGCGCGCAACUGGGCCCUAACUGACGCUGAGGUACGAAAGCUAGGGGAGCGAAUGGG
RNAcentral lists this ribosomal RNA (253 nucleotides) under uncultured bacterium. Its description in RNAcentral is "partial 16S ribosomal RNA". It matches the Rfam family "Bacterial small subunit ribosomal RNA", at positions 524 to 776 of the family's 1533-position model. The record is from RNAcentral.